RNAcentral lists this ribosomal RNA (584 nucleotides) under uncultured bacterium. RNAcentral's name for it is "partial 16S ribosomal RNA". It matches the Rfam family "Bacterial small subunit ribosomal RNA", at positions 355 to 1375 of the family's 1533-position model. The record is from RNAcentral.
UGGGGAAUUUUGGACAAUGGGCGAAAGCCUGAUCCAGCAAUGCCGCGUGUGUGAAGAAGGCCUUCGGGUUGUAAAGCACUUUUGUCCGGAAAGAAAUCCUUGGCUCUAAUACAGUCGGGGGAUGACGGUACCGGAAGAAUAAGCACCGGCUAACUACGUGCCAGCAGCCGCGGCAAUACGUAGGGUGCAAGCGUUAAUCGGAAUUACUGGGCGUAAAGCGUGCGCAGGCGGUUUGCUAAGACCGAUGUGAAAUCCCCGGGCUCAACCUGGGAACUGCAUUGGUGACUGGCAGGCUAGAGUAUGGCAGAGGGGGGUAGAAUUCCACGUGUAGCAGUGAAAUGCGUAGAGAUGUGGAGGAAUACCGAUGGCGAAGGCAGCCCCCUGGGCCAAUACUGACGCUCAUGCACGAAAGCGUGGGGAGCAAACAGGAUUAGAUACCCUGGUAGUCCACGCCCUAAACGAUGUCAACUAGUUGUUGGGGAUUCAUUCCUUAGUAACGUAGCUAACGCGUGAAGUUGACCGCCUGGGGAGUACGGUCGCAAGAUUAAAACUCAAAUGAAUUGACGGGGUCAUAGCUGUUUCCU